Molecule: ribosomal RNA, 492 nt
Filed under: uncultured bacterium
Lineage: Bacteria
Description: partial 16S ribosomal RNA
Rfam family: Bacterial small subunit ribosomal RNA
Source: RNAcentral
AGUGAACGCUGGCGGUAGGCCUAACACAUGCAAGUCGAACGGCAGCACCGUAAGAGCUUGCUCUUACGGGUGGCGAGUGGGGGACGGGUGAGGAAUACAUCGGAAUCUACUUUUUCGUGGGGGAUAACGUAGGGAAACUUACGCUAAUACCGGAUAUGUCCUAUGGGUGAAAGCACGGGUUCUUCGGACCUUGCGGUAGUGAAUGAGCCGAUGUCGGAUUAGCUAGUUGGCGGGGUCAAGGCGAAACAAGGCGACGAUCGGAAUCAGGUCCGAGGGCAUGUACAGCCACACUGGAACUGAGAAACGGCCCCGACUCCGACGGGAGGACGCGGUGGGGAAUAUUGGACAAGGGGGGAAAGCCUGAUCCAGCCAUACCGCGUAGGUGAAGAAGGACUUCGGGUUGUAAAGCGAUGUAGUUGGGAAAGAAAAGCAGCAGGUUAAUACCCCACUGUUCUGACAGUACCCAAAGAAUAAGCACCGGCUAACUUCGUG